Castor canadensis (American beaver) is the source of this 6327-nucleotide non-coding RNA. The record is from RefSeq and is a predicted model, not a curated record. NCBI's taxonomy places the organism in Eukaryota, Metazoa, Chordata, Mammalia, Rodentia, Castoridae.
CAGAACUAUUGCCUAUAGCAUUUAUUGUAUAUCCAUUGUGAAGCUUUUGGAAACCUAAAAAAAAAAGCCAUGUACAUUUUCUUCACAGAGUAUUCACAUUAUAAUAUAGGGGAUAAUUAAAACACAAUACCUUCUUUCAACACAUAUGUUGGUCUACUGUUAACUUGUGUACAAUAUUUAUUGAGUGUCUUUUAUGUGCCCGUCACUGAUCUAGGAGCUGGCGAUAUAGCAGGAACAAUACUUGUUGGGGACAGUUCUCCAUAUUAAUAUAUAAUCAUGCAGUGCCUUAUUCCAAGUUAUGUAUCAGUGCUAUGGUGGAAAUGAAUGUGGUAUUAGGAGAGAGAAGAAUAGAGAAUCUUCAUCUCCUUGACAAAACCAGGGAAAGAUUUUCAGAGAAUGUGGUGUCUUGAGCCCCGACUGACUGAUGAAGAGUCAUUAAACGAGCUUUAGGGGCUGGUGGAUGCUCCAGUAUGCACAGGAGUUCUUUGAUGGGUAGAAUCUUGGUUCAGAUCAAAGACAUAAAGGAACACAGCUUCAGCCAGAGCACCAGGAACAAGGGACAUGAGAGUGCGAUUAAGCUGGGAGACUUGCCUGGGUCCAGUGCAUGCUGUUCUUGUAAAACUAGGUUAGGAUUUUAGUCUUUACCCUAAAAUGAAUGUAAAGCCAUACCAUAGAAGUUGUCUAAGCAUGGGGAUGAAAAGAUCACAUUUGUGUUUUGAAAUUUACUUCUGUGAUAUGAGGAGGGUUUAAGAGUAAAUCUAGAACUAGUCAAGAAGCCAUUGCAAUAAUCCAUCAAGUGAGUCACUAAACUGGAUUAAUCCACUACAGUAGAUUUAAACUGGAGUAGUUGCGGUAGAGAAUAGCGAAGGGUAGGAGAUUUGAGAAUUUGAGCUAUUUCAAGGAAAAGAAGUUGACUGGCUUAAUAUUGGAUAUGGAGAGUGAAAGAAAUAGGCAAUAGUGAAUCCUAGGGAUAUGGCUUGUGUACCUGCGCAGGAGAAAGCACCAUUCAUUGGAAUGGGUGCACUUAAGGGAGAGUGGGAUUAAGAGAGUGGCAACUUGUGAGUUUGAUUUGUUGAAUUUAAAGUGGCUUUGAAUUAUCUAAGUGGACAAGUAGUCAGUCAAGUAAUCAGUUGAACAUGUGGAUCUGGAGGAGAGGAGAGAUUGAGAUAGAAGUAUGGGAGCCGAUACUUUGCAGAGAGUUUUUGAGUUGGAGAACAUGAGAGGGUAAGGAAGAUAUUGGGGUUGACUCUAGAGGAACUCCCAACUUUUAAAGUCCUGAUACACAAGAGUGAGUCCACAAGAAGAUCAGGAAAGGCUAGCUGUAGAAGAACAACAGUGAAGAAAGUCCAGUGUCACAACUUGUGUUGUGAGGAGAGGUGGUGUGUGUUUGCUUGUUAAGGCUGCUGUGAUUAAGAGCUGCAAACAGAUGCUUGAGAACAACAGGUAGCUACCCGUUCAGUUCGGGAGGCUGAAGGUGGUUCCUUCUGAGGGCUGAAAGGCCCUGCUACUAGCUUCUGGUAAAAACCAGCAAGCCUGGGCAUUCCUUGCUUGUCAUCACUCCAGUCUUGGCCCUGUCUUCACCUGACAUUCUUCCUGUGUGUCUCUGUCUUCUUAUAAGGACACCACUCAUGCUGGAUUAAUAACCAACCCCACUCCAGUAUAACAUAAUCUUAACUAAUUACAUCUGCAGUGACCCUAUUUCCAAGUAUGGUCACAUUCUGAGGUCUUUUUGGGGACACAAUGUAUAACUAGAGGAGUCAAAUUCAAUCUAAGAGGAUUUCCCUGUUGUCUAAGGCCUUCUGGGGGAGGUAGUGACAAUUAAGACACAAUUCCUGUUCUUACAUAUAUUUUAACAUAAGAUUAACCCUAUUAUUCUAUCCAGUCAGGUCCAAAUCAGGUAUUUAUGGGAGCUGAGAUGAAUGUGAUUUGUGGGAAUAGAAAGAAGGCAAAUGGGAAGAAUUAAAUUGGAAAAACAUUUCUUAGAGGAGAUGAAAUUUGAAUUGAGUGUUAAUGGAGAGGGUUCAGGAUUUAAAUUUGUGGAAAGCAGAGGUAGAGGGUAUUAUGGGAAGAGAAAAAUCACAAAAACCUGGAAGUGUUCAGUCUUUAAAAAGUAAGAAUCUGAUAUUUGUCAUUUAGCAUAAAAUAAUCACAUGCCUGCUGGUAGCCCCUUAUGUAGAAGAGGUUACAGAAUUUUAUGUAUGACAGAGAGUCUUUGGCAAGAAUAAGGUUGGAUCUUAAUUCAAUUGAUUUUGGAAGCAGUUAUUUACUGAGACCUACUGUAAACCAGGCACUGUGCCAAGGGCUAUGGAUAUAUAAGAUUUUGAUUAGAUAUUUACUCUUACCAACCUCUGAGCACCAACAAUCUUUUUUUUUUUUUUGACAAAGUUUCACUGUGUUACCAGGCUCGCCUCACUUUUCUGGGCUUAAGUAAUCCUGUUCCCUCAGUCUCCUGAGUAACUGGGACUAAAGACAUGUGCUACUAUACCCAAUAUCAACCAUCAUUUUAAUACACAACUUGUGGGUAAAACCAGGAUUUUCUGUUUCUGACUCUGUCCAUUUUCAAAAUUAUUAAUUUAAUAAUAGUAACUAAUAAUAAUCGAGUAGCUUACUCAAGGCCAACUAUUCUAAAUACUUUACUUAGGUGAACUUUACCAAAUCUUAUGCUGUAGUGUUUCCAACAAAUUCAUAGGUGCCGUCCAUAUAAGAUGAUAUUUGAUAUACCUCUAAGAAAGAGUUACAAGGUUUCUGAUUAAUUGAAAGAUGACAUUGUCAGUAAGACACAUUUUGAUUUCAGAAAUGUUAAAAUAUGGAAGAAUGCAUAUAACUUAGAUUUGGUGGACAGGUUACAUCCAAUGAUAUAAGAUAACUGUAGUUGACAGAGGGGGAAAUAGAGGCACUGAGGAGGUGAGUAGUUGGCCCAAGGUUAUGGGUCCACCAUGGAGCCCAUAUUUUCAUCCAAGAGCCAGGCUCCAGAGCCUGGGCACUUAGCCAUUGUACUCCAUACUGUGUAUGAUUAUAAACCCUGAGCACUUCUCAGGAGACUUUUUUUCAUAAAUCAAGAGCAUGAUAACGAAGGUUUGGGGAACAGCAGAGUGGGAGAGGUAUAUGCAGAUGUGCAACUUGCAGUUGGUGGUUUGGUUGAUCAGGGACUUUGCAGGGUUGGUCUUUUGGUGUGGCACUUUUGUCAAUCUGUAGUGUUAACAGCGAAGAAGAGCGACCAUGGUGGUGAGCCAGGAGAUGCGGGGAAAGGUGAGGAUGGGGCAAGAGUGGUUGACUACUUGUGGAAAAUGGUGUGCCUUCAGCCCCAUUUUAAGUUUCACUUCCUCUGAAGGCCUCUCUCAGCACCCCACCCCGUCUUUAUCUUGAAUCUCUCCAUUGUCAUCAGAGGUGCUGUCACUCUGUUGCUUGGUUUCAUUUCCUGUGAAGUCCCCUUUCGUCUUGUCUAAGGUGGCCCUGUAGGUAUCUCUAGCUUCCAAGGCUUGUGAGAAAGUGCCCAGGUGCUCAAUGAAGUAUGGGAAACUGCAUUAAGGUGGGCUGAAUAAAGAGUACGUGGUGAAGUUCGGUGUGAUCACUUCACUCUUCCUUUUUAAUAUUUUCCAUCUUCAUAGGGGUAUCCAGCAUCUCUUGAUACAUGGGAUUUUCCCCUCACAGUUUUAAAAAAUGAGAUAUUGUUCAUAUUUCAGGUAUUUUGAAACUAUCCAAAUGAUAGCAUGAAUGUCUUUUUUAGUGGUUUGGAAGGAGUUCUCAGAGUGAAAGUCAUUUUCGUCUGGAUUCUGAGGCUUGAGGCUUGAGGGUGUUAUAACUGCAUGAGUAAGAAUGGAAUUGAUAAAUACUUUUUGAAAAGCUGGUCCUAAGCUAAGCAGUCUAGUCCCCAUAGAUCAAUGUGAGUGCUGGUUUUGUCACCUUGUAAUAGCAAGGGAUCAGUCUUGGUGUGCUGGCUGAUGACAGCACCACAAUGCAGGUAAUAGUACAGCACUUUCCCAGCUGAUGUGUGCUAACCUGCACUUGAUGUCUGCUCAUACCUGCUUCUAAAAUAACUUGAGAUUCUUCUCCUUCUAAAUGUGUAGCAGUGUAAUGUUUCCAUGUAAGCAAUUGCCUUACAGCAAUGUUCACAAAACCUUACCAUGUCUUAGACUGUUACUGCUUUCUUUCUCUCAUAUCUACAUUUUUAUUCUCUGGUGUUCCCACUAGUAAAGUGUUCUACUUAGUAGUCUUUGCACACGGCUGUGACUUGUGUUGAUGGAACUUGGCGUAUUGUGUUAUGUUGUGAGGGAGUGUGCAAAUAUGACCUCGCAGGCCUUAAGGACCCAGCUGUAGGGGAGAUGGAAGUGCACUGCACAUACCUAUGAAGCCAAGAUGAAAGUGACUGCAGAAAGAGCAAAAUGGAUUAAGGAAUUUCUGAGGAGGAACACAUGAGAUUCUUAGAAGGGCUUGCAAAGAUUUGGAGGAAGGGACAGAUAUACAUUGGGAUCUGUAGUUGUAGUUCUGGAAAGACAGACACUCCAAGAGCACUCUUCUUUAGGUGGCUCUCUGAUGAUGGGCAGUACUAUAUCUGCUCUGGUUUACGUAUUAACCACUGACCACAUGUGGCUUUUGGGAAUUUGAAAUGUGUUUAGUGCAACUGAGGAACUAAACUUUGGAUUUUAUUUAAUGUUAAUUUUAUAGUUAAUAGUCAUAUGUGGCUGUGGCUACCACAGUGGACAUCGCAUCCAGACAAAGCAUGCAUAUGGGUAACUCAAUAUGAUGAACUCGUAUGAUUAUCUUAAUCACAAAUCAUGGAGUUUGGCUUUUCCUUUACAAUCUGCUUUGCUGAAGCACAUUUUAAGAUGCAGGAAAUCAUUAGUUAAGAAAUGAUAGGUAGUGAGUCAGUGGCUCUCUCAUCCUCACAUAUACAUGUCCUGCAUGUAAACACGCAGACAGGCACGUGCACACACACAUGUGCACACACAUACACACACACAUGCAAGCAUACACACAGUUCCCUCCCCUCCAUCCAGGGAUGGAGAGACUACACCAUGUUUUUGAUUGGCCUACUCUUUUGAAUUAGAGAUAAUGAAUUAAUGAUUCUUCUAUUGGGCACAUGUCAGACUGGGCAAAGAAGAGUCCCUGAUAGAAGGAAAGAUCCAUCUCAAAUCUCAAUCCUGCAAUAAGAACUCAGUCAAAGGGUCUCAGGUGAUUCUUCAUUUCCUCAGCUAUAAACAGGGGGUAGCAAUAUCUCCUGUCUGCCUCAAAAGAUAAUAUAUAUUUAAAAAAACUUUUUCACAUUGACUUUUCCAAAGCAGCAUCUCAGCGUUUUUAUAAUUCUGCAGGGCAUUUCUCUUUCUCUUUGUGUUGACUGUGGUUCCAACAGAUAUGAUUAUACAUAUUUUCUCCUUGAUCUUAAAUGUCCUCUGGCAAUCUUCACAUCUCUUCAAGACCCACUUGGAAAAUCUCUCUUUUAAUUCUGCCCCAGUCUUGCUUUGGAAUCUUCCUUUCUGAGUCCUAACUUCAUUUGGCUCAGUUUCUGAUUCUUCCCCUCUCAGCAUGUGUUCCCACAAUGCCCUGGACUCCCCAAAAUGUUGCUUGUGUAUGCUUUUAAGUCUUUUUCAUAUGUCUGUGCUUUGUCUUCUUUAUUAAAAUGGAAACUCCUUGGGGCAGAGACAGACUUUGAACUUGAUUUUCUUGAACUUUUAAAAAUUAAUUUUAUCCUUGCAGAGAGUGGCCCUCGGUGAAUGUGGCAUUAUGGCAGUUAAAUAGAGGACAUGAGGCUUCAGACUGACAUAUUCAAAGCUGUAUCUCAUCAUGUUUGUUGGCCUUGAACUCCUGGGCUCGAGUAUCCUUCUGCCUCAGCUUCGUGAGUAGCUGGGACUACAGAGUUUAAGAUUUCUUCACAACAGCUGCUUCUCUACAGGGGUAACAGCUAGACCUCUGGUAGUGUUAGAAGGAGACAACCCAGGACAGCAGCAGCUGGUUUUAUUUUUGGUUUUCGUCAGGUGUUGAUUGGUGAAUUUACCUGAGAAGUUGAGACUCAAGAUUGUGAAAACGUGUGACUAGGACCGAAAGCAGAUUUUCAGGUAGGAAAUCAAGAUUGUUCUCUUUAAUUCCUUUGCACUGGUUUUUGCAGCAGUCAAAUCAGCAUUUUCAUAGGAAACACAAUAUCCAAAAGCAAAGGACUGUGUAGAUUCUGAGUUUGUACUAGGAAAAACCUGUAUGUUCCUUUUUAAAGAAUUCUUUUCUCUACUUUCCAAAUAGUUAUAGCUGAGCUUUGAAAUGAGAUCCAAGAGGAACUUGAAGAAGUAUAUCUAUAUUUGCAAAAGUCUUCUAGAUUUGAUUUUGAUUCUGGAAGCC